AUCUUAUUAGGUUAAUUAGACCAAUUGUUUUCAAAACAAUAAGUGCGUUACAUGCAUUAGAUG
Molecule: transfer RNA, 63 nt
Filed under: Aglaiogyrodactylus forficulatus
Lineage: Eukaryota; Metazoa; Platyhelminthes; Monogenea; Gyrodactylidea; Oogyrodactylidae
Description: tRNA-Trp
Source: RNAcentral